CAGAACUCGUGGAUCGUGGAUGCCCGACAAGCAGCUCCAACCAAACCGAGUAGAGCCUUUGCCCUAAGGAUGAACCUAUGGCAUAAUGUAACAAUAAUAAUGGCCAUGAAUAUCGCCCAACAUGCAAUAAGGGAUGAAAGUGUCGAGGACAGCUAAUUAUCUUCAGAAUUGUGUUAUGUUAUAUAUGUGUAUGCAGCCCCUAUCUAGAGAUGUGUAGAGUUUUUGAAUCCCUAUAUGUAUUGCCUGUCUGUUCUGAAACCGACUUUGAGCAUGUGAUUUUGGCGUUGUCUACCAUCCCUUCUUUCCUGGAGCCCACUUCAGAUAUGCUCUGGCACAUGUCUUGUACUGUACAAGUUGUACUCUGUUUUGGCUUGGAUUCAAUGACAGCAAGGUUCAUCCCAUGGAUUUGAAGUGUCAUCAUAAUGUGCUGAGUGGGAAUUGAGCCUGCGACAUCACAACCACCAAUCCUCUAUCACAAUGAUAAACUUUUACAACUCCCCCCCUUGGACUUCAAUGUUGUCCAGAAUGUAAC
Molecule: long non-coding RNA, 532 nt
Filed under: Volvox carteri
Lineage: Eukaryota; Viridiplantae; Chlorophyta; Chlorophyceae; Chlamydomonadales; Volvocaceae
Description: long non-coding RNA (VCAR_LNC001741)
Source: RNAcentral